Molecule: ribosomal RNA, 465 nt
Filed under: uncultured bacterium
Lineage: Bacteria
Description: partial 16S ribosomal RNA
Rfam family: Bacterial small subunit ribosomal RNA
Source: RNAcentral
GAUGAACGCUGGCGGCGUGCUUAACACAUGCAAGUCGAACGGAAAGGCUCCUGCUUGCAGGGGUACUCGAGUGGCGAACGGGUGAGUAACACGUGGGUGAUCUGCCCUGCACUUCGGGAUAAGCCUGGGAAACUGGGUCUAAUACCGGAUAGGACGAUGGUUUGGAUGCCAUUGUGGAAAGUUUUUCGGUGUGGGAUGAGCUCGCGGCCUAUCAGCUUGUUGGUGGGGUAAUGGCCUACCAAGGCGUCGACGGGUAGCCGGCCGGAGGGGGGGUACGGCCACUUGGGGCCGAGGCUCGGCCCCGGCCCCUGCCGGGGGGCGCAGGGGGGAAAUUUGGCACAGGGGGCGCACCCCUGAUGGCGCGCCCCGGGGGGGGGGGUGCCGGCCUUGGGGUUGUAACCUCCUUCCGCGGGGACCGAACCGCAUGGGCCGGUCCGGGGAAAAGAACCCCCGCCUAACUCCGUG